RNAcentral lists this ribosomal RNA (377 nucleotides) under uncultured eukaryote. RNAcentral's name for it is "partial 18S ribosomal RNA". It matches the Rfam family "Eukaryotic small subunit ribosomal RNA", at positions 592 to 976 of the family's 1831-position model. The record is from RNAcentral.
CAAUAGCGUAUAUUAAAGGUGUUGCAGUUAAAAAGCUCGUAGUUGGAUUUCGGGGCAGCCUGGCUGGUCCGCCGCAAGGCGAGUACUGGUCAGCCGCCCUUCCUCUCGAAAGCCCCGACUGCUCUUCGUUGCAGUGGUCGGGUAGUUCGGGACGUUUACUUUGAAAAAAUUAGAGUGUUCAAGGCAGGCCUACGCCUGAAUACAUUAGCAUGGAAUAAUGGAAGAGGACCUCGGUCCUAUUUUGUUGGUUUCCAGGGCCGAAGUAAUGAUUAAGAGGGACAGUUGGGGGCAUUCGUAUUUAAUUGUCAGAGGUGAAAUUCUCGGAUUUAUGAAAGACGAACAACUGCGAAAGCAUUUGCCAAGGAUGUUUUCAUUAA